UACGUAGGGUGCGAGCGUUUGUCCGGAAUUAUUGGGCGUAAAGAGCUUGUAGGCGGUUUGUCGCGUCUGCCGUGAAAUUUCGAGGCUCAACCUCGAACUUGCGGUGGGUACGGGCAGACUAGAGUGUGGUAGGGGAGACUGGAAUUCCUGGUGUAGCGGUGAAAUGCGCAGAUAUCAGGAGGAACACCGAUGGCGAAGGCAGGUCUCUGGGCCACUACUGACGCUGAGAAGCGAAAGCAUGGGGAGCGAACAGG
This 254-nucleotide ribosomal RNA is filed under the name uncultured bacterium. RNAcentral describes it as "partial 16S ribosomal RNA". It matches the Rfam family "Bacterial small subunit ribosomal RNA", at positions 524 to 776 of the family's 1533-position model. The record is from RNAcentral.